RNAcentral lists this transfer RNA (68 nucleotides) under Anadara antiquata. RNAcentral's name for it is "tRNA-Glu". Lineage: Eukaryota; Metazoa; Mollusca; Bivalvia; Arcoida; Arcidae. The record is from RNAcentral.
UGCCGGAUGAGUAUUCAUGUACAUCGAUUUUUCGCGUCGAAAGCCUCCCUUAAUGGAAGAUUCGGUAA